UGGGGAAUAUUGGUCAAUGGACGAGAGUCUGAACCAGCCAAGUUGCGUGCAGGAUGACGGCCCUAUGGGUUGUAAACUGCUUUUGUUUGGGAAUAAUCGACAUUACGUGUAAUGUUUUGCAUGUACCAUUCGAAUAAGGACCGGCUAAUUCCGUGCCAGCAGCCGCGGUAAUACGGAAGGUCCAGGCGUUAUCCGGAUUUAUUGGGUUUAAAGGGAGUGUAGGCGGUUGGUUAAGCGUGUUGUGAAAUGUAGAUGCUCAACAUCUGACUUGCAGCGCGAACUGGCUGACUUGAGUGCGCACAACGUAGGCGGAAUUCAUGGUGUAGCGGUGAAAUGCUUAGAUAUCAUGAAGAACUCCGAUUGCGAAGGCAGCUUACGGGAGCGCAACUGACGCUGAAGCUCGAAGGUGCGGGUAUCGAACAGG
Molecule: ribosomal RNA, 424 nt
Filed under: Verrucomicrobiota bacterium
Lineage: Bacteria; Pseudomonadati; Verrucomicrobiota
Description: Verrucomicrobia bacterium partial 16S ribosomal RNA
Rfam family: Bacterial small subunit ribosomal RNA
Source: RNAcentral